This 181-nucleotide ribosomal RNA is filed under the name uncultured soil bacterium. RNAcentral describes it as "partial 16S ribosomal RNA". It matches the Rfam family "Bacterial small subunit ribosomal RNA", at positions 26 to 235 of the family's 1533-position model. The record is from RNAcentral.
AGAACGAACGCUGGCGGCAUGCCUAACACAUGCAAGUCGAACGAGACCUUCGGGUCUAGUGGCGCACGGGUGCGUAACGCGUGGGAAUCUGCCCUUCGGUUCGGAAUAACAGCUAGAAAUGACUGCUAAUACCGGAUAAUGACGUAAGUCCAAAGAUUUAUCGCCGAAGGAUGAGCCCGCG